RNAcentral lists this transfer RNA (79 nucleotides) under Escherichia coli. RNAcentral describes it as "tRNA-Ile". It matches the Rfam family "tRNA". Rfam says of the family: Transfer RNA (tRNA) molecules are approximately 80 nucleotides in length. Their secondary structure includes four short double-helical elements and three loops (D, anti-codon, and T loops). The record is from RNAcentral. Lineage: Bacteria; Pseudomonadati; Pseudomonadota; Gammaproteobacteria; Enterobacterales; Enterobacteriaceae.
AGGCUUGUAGCUCAGGUGGUUAGAGCGCACCCCUGAUAAGGGUGAGGUCGAUCAGGUUCAAGUCCACUCAGGCCUACCA